RNAcentral lists this ribosomal RNA (365 nucleotides) under uncultured eukaryote. Its description in RNAcentral is "partial 18S ribosomal RNA". It matches the Rfam family "Eukaryotic small subunit ribosomal RNA", at positions 592 to 976 of the family's 1831-position model. The record is from RNAcentral.
CAAUAGCGUAUAUUUAAGUUGCUGCAGUUAAAAAGCUCGUAGUUGGAUUUCGGGUGGGAAUGGCCGGUCCGCCGUUAGGUGUGCACUGAUUGGUCUCAGCUUCCUGGUGAGGAGGUGUGCUUCACGGCCACUUAGUCACCGUGGUUACUUUGAAAAAAUUAGAGUGUUCAAAGCGGGCUUACGCUUGAAUAUUUCAGCAUGGAAUAACACUAUAGGACUCCUGUCCUAUUUCGUUGGUCUCGGGACGGGAGUAAUGAUUAAGAGGAACAGUUGGGGGCAUUCGUAUUUCAUUGUCAGAGGUGAAAUUCUUGGAUUUAUGAAAGACGAACUUCUGCGAAAGCAUUUGCCAAGGAUGUUUUCAUUAA